GUCAUAAUAGGAAUAAAAUUAAUGAGUAACACUUCUAAUAUUAUGAUGUUAUUCUAUUAUUAACCAAUAAAUAAUUGUUUCAAAAUUGGUUUAAUAAAAAGUCGUUUUUAGAUACCUAUUUUACUGUUUGGUUUUUUUUUGUACGAUAAAAAUAUUCUAAUUUAGGAAAAUUAUAUUUUAUUUGACCAUAUUAUGACAUAUUACACUAAACGUGCUAUACAUUCGUACUAAAAUGGAUACAGCUGAUGAAGAUUCAGAAGAAGUCGUUAAUUCAUUUAAUGAAAACAAUUCUCGUUACACUCAUGAAAGACAAAAUAUAAAUAUAAUAGAAUUCAGCCGACCUUCGUACUGCAUUAAAUGUAAAAUUAUGACCGGCCACAAUACUCCACCUCGUUUAGUUGUGAUAAAAAAUGGACGUCCUGCAAUGUCGUCUUUUUGUUGGAUAUGUAGGUCAAGAAAGAUACGAUUCGUAUCGUACAGACUUUAUCGAGAAUAUACUGGAAGAAAGUUGUGUAUUUUUGUUUAUGUAUAUAGAUGACGGAUGUAUUUUUAUAAUGAUUAUGGUUAAGAAAGGAAGACAAAUAAAGAAGAGUAAAUAUAAUAGAAGACGUCUUUAAAAAUAAAUUUUUAAUUUGAAAAAAUUAUGCUGAAGCCUGAAUUGAUGGUAGUGUUUAAAGAAAAAUUGAAACCCAAUAAAGGCAUAUUAAUUCUCUGCAAGUACAAUUUCCAUCAUAAUAAAUAAAUAUUAACAAGAAUCUACUUGGAUGUUUUAUGCUUUAUUUUAAUACCAAUAAAAUAAUAUGCUACUUAUUAUUUGUAAA
Long non-coding RNA from Aphis gossypii (cotton aphid), 821 nucleotides. RefSeq lists it as uncharacterized. The transcript is spliced from 2 exons. The record is from RefSeq and is a predicted model, not a curated record. NCBI's taxonomy places the organism in Eukaryota, Metazoa, Arthropoda, Insecta, Hemiptera, Aphididae.